GACCACGUAGCUCAGUUGGCAGAGCAUUGGGCUAGUAUUCCACCAAAGGUCGUAGGUUCGAUUCCCACCGUGGCCA
Molecule: non-coding RNA, 76 nt
Organism: Paramuricea clavata
Lineage: Eukaryota; Metazoa; Cnidaria; Anthozoa; Malacalcyonacea; Plexauridae
Source: the annotation of a GenBank genome assembly